Pseudophryne corroboree (corroboree frog) is the source of this 1665-nucleotide long non-coding RNA. RefSeq lists it as uncharacterized. The transcript has 3 exons. The record is from RefSeq and is a predicted model, not a curated record. NCBI's taxonomy places the organism in Eukaryota, Metazoa, Chordata, Amphibia, Anura, Myobatrachidae.
GCGGGAGCAGAAGAAUCAAUAUUGACAGGACAGUAUAUCCGUUUGGAUUGUAGCCACACAAAGGGGAUGCGAUUGCAGCGCUCAAAUAGUACAUAAGAGGAUGCAUGUGAACUAUACUGUGUAAUUACAUGGACUUCCAGUCCGCGAAUGACGGAACAGGAAGUAACCUUCAGGAUAGCUUUAAAAACCGGUUGGUUUUAAAUCGGAGUGGGAGAAGGGACCUUCUGACGUCACUAGGGGAGGAGACACGUCACCAGGGGGAGGAGCUACGGCUUCGCUGGCCUAAAGGUAAUAGUUGGUGGCGUGGAUAGUAGAGGAUCUAUCUCGCUAGCCUAGCUCCUCCCCCUUGUGUUGUGGUUCCUUCCCCUGACAUAAAAAGUCCCUUAGGCCAUUUGAAUCUAGCAUCAACCUUUAAAAACCAUCUCUGCGGACAUUGCAUUCAAGCCUUGAUAAAGAGACAGGAGUCCCGAAACAUGUUGGCCUGGCAGUGCCCUCAGAUGACCCACAUUGUGGAGAAGGUCCGUAGCAGCAGAAAAGGAAAGUGCUGGCAUAGCAAGAGUUAAGAAAGGACCCUUGUCUGGAUGUGAAAAGCUGAUUGGGCAGAGAAGCCUGGGAACAGAGGAGCCUCUUGGGAAGAAGAAGAAGGAGUCGAUUGGAGAGACUUGAGGUGCUGGAUGCAUGCUGAGUGAACGAGCAGAGUGGGAGCUGAGAACGUGUGUCAGCCGCAGGGUCAUCCUGGGUGCUGAAAGCAGAACUGAAGAGAGGAAACAGCGGGGUGCUCCUGGAGAGACAAGUGCCGAGUAAGCGAGUGUGAGAUGUCGCAGCCAGAGGCCGGACACCGCUGGGCUUAGUGAAAGGACGCCACAGCCAUCUUAUAACAGUGAGGAACUGUUGAAAACUGGUCCACAGUAACGGUUGGACAACAUGCCAGUAACUAUCAACAAAGCUAUGAGCAAGAUAAUCACUAACAUGAAAAAAGAGAAGAAAAGCAUCAAAGAGAUCCAUGCAUGGCUCAAGGAAAGUGGCAUUAUAGUCACUUUAGAAACUGUGCGCUAUCAUGCUUUCGAGAUAACAACACCCAGAUUUGCAUUUCCUACAAAAUGAACAUGGCACGUACUGUACAGUCAUAGGUGUAGCUUGGUGCCAUGGUGCCCGGAGCAAGGGUAUGUUUUGGCGCCCCCUCCCCUGUACUGAAUUGGGGGCCUGCCCAACAUGUGGUGGCAUGUUAUAUUUGAAAAGAAAAAAUAGUUAAAAAUACUAAAUUGGUCACAGGUCCGGUUCUAGACCCCGUAGAGCUCAGGGUGAAAGUUUCCGCUGGGCAGGUUACCCCCCCCCACCCACCUCCUAAAGUAUAAAACAGAGAUAGUGCAUCCCCAGACAUGCAACAAAUACAGAGAUAAUGCAGAUAAAGGUGCUGCAACAGCAGCUGGGGCAUAGUGAGGGUUUGUCAGUCAGAAGUCUCCAAUCUAGUUUGUGAAGAUACUCCCUCUCAAGCUCCUUGUAAAAGGUGAGUGAGUGUAUAGAGCUAAUAUCAUAUAACAAACGUAUUGGCUGUAUUUUACUGACACUCUUUUAGACACAUUUUUUGGGAAAUUACUUGAUGAACUAUUUGUAUAAUUCCAUUUGUUCAAAUGUAUGCUAUUAAAAUAAGUUUUUACUAAUUGG